Molecule: ribosomal RNA, 402 nt
Filed under: uncultured prokaryote
Description: bacterial SSU rRNA
Rfam family: Bacterial small subunit ribosomal RNA
Source: RNAcentral
UGAGGAAUCAUAGUCAAUGGGCGAAAGCCUGAACCUGCGACGCCGCGUGAGUGAUGAAGGUUUUCGGAUCGUAAAGCUCUGUCUUUGGGGAAGAUAAUGACGGUACCCAAGGAGGAAGCCACGGCUAACUACGUGCCAGCAGCCGCGGUAAUACGUAGGUGGCGAGCGUUAUCCGGAUUUACUGGGCGUAAAGGGAGCGUAGGCGGACUUUUAAGUGAGAUGUGAAAUACCCGGGCUCAACUUGGGUGCUGCAUUUCAAACUGGAAGUCUAGAGUGCAGGAGAGGAGAAUGGAAUUCCUAGUGUAGCGGUGGAAUGCGCAGAUAUCAGGAAGAACACCGAUGGCGAAGGCAGGUCUCUGGGCCAUAACUGACGCUGAGGAGCGAAAGCGUGGGGAGCGAACA